This is a long non-coding RNA of Mya arenaria, 2646 nucleotides long. RefSeq lists it as uncharacterized. The record is from RefSeq and is a predicted model, not a curated record. NCBI's taxonomy places the organism in Eukaryota, Metazoa, Mollusca, Bivalvia, Myida, Myidae. The transcript has 9 exons.
UCCAUUUAAGAAACUGUAUCGGAUAUUACUUCCUUGUUAUUUUGAAAAUUGUAUGUGUGAUCAGAUUAAAUAAAAUUCAGAUUCAUAAUCAGACGCUCAGAUUCGUUUACAUAUAUGUCUGAAACAAAAUGAAAUGAGAAUUUAUUGGAGAUCGUUUAAUGACAAUAUAUAUACACAUAUAUAUUUAAUUUUCAUGACAUUUAAAAAUGGGCGGUCUCCAGUCAUUUCCGGAGUUUCCGAGUAGAACUCUCGUCGAGGGACAAUCAUCAUGGUACCAAGAUUUUGAGAAAUAUCCUAUUGGACGUAUUCUAAAUGACCUUGAUUCUAAAAUCAAAGAAUAGAAUGAUAUAAUUGAUAAUUUAAAGAAAGGACAAAUGAGUAGAGAAAAGAAAAUGUACAUGUUUUCACUGAUGAUUCAAACUUCAGAUUUUCUAAUGAGUAUGGUCCCGCCGGAAUUUUAUACUUCAUUCAUAAAACAAGGAGCAGAUCAUAAUACACAUAUACCAUAUGAGCACCGACACCAACAGGUACCUCGCCACCAGGAAGGUCAUCAGAGUGCACAUGAGGAAGAGAGAAAGAUAAGGCGAGACAAUGCACCACCGCGGCCCCAAACUGCAUCUCCAGGCGGCAGGAAUAAUGAGCUGGAAAAACUAAAGAGAGAAAAUAAGGAACUGCAGACAAGUUUGAAAGACGUUCAACUGGUUGGAGAAGACCUACAAAGGGAGAAAGAACUUCUCCUUAUCAGGUUAAGUAGAUUUGCAGGCGAAAAACUAACAGCAGAGAAUCCAAACAUAGCUGACCUCAGUGAUCCUUGUCGGCCCACCAGGCUCGGGGAACAAUACAGCGAGAUAUAUGACAACGAAUGGACUAACGCGUUUGAAGGCCUUCUCGACUGUGGUUAUACUGAUAGUGAAGCUAUUGAUACACUUAGGGACACGCUCAUGAAUAUUGACACGUUUUGCAAUCAAAAGGCUGACAUGGUUUUGAAAAAGCUGAAGACGCUGUGAAUCUUUUGUUUGAAGAUUACACAAAAUCAUUUAACUUCAAGAUUGGUAUACCUGAAAUAACAAUACGGAGUGGACGGGUUAACUUAAACGAACAAUCAAUAGAUGUGUCAGCUAAAAAGAAGCACAUGUUUUCAGAUGUGCUUAAUAGCGCUACAAUGGGAGCCAUGGGCCUGCAGAAAAGGUGGCUACCAAAAGGUGGCAAUCAACCAGCAUCGCUUUCUGCCAUGCAGACAAAACUUGACGUAAAACCAGUAAAUAUUGAAGAUAAGCUGAAGAAACUGAGAAAAGAAGUUUCAUCUUCGAUGGUUCCAAUCGUACAACGGGCCUACAUCGAGGCUUUUUGGAACAGAGAGUGUAUACCAGUCCUCAAACCAUUCGUGAAAGCCUGCCUGCAUCUUUGUUGGAAAAUGGUCGUCCAGAGUCCGCCUAUGCGCUUUAAACUGGUGGUCACCAAAGGUCAACAUUUUGAUGCCAAUUUAUAUAAGGAGUACAUACUUUCUGGAACUACGAUUGAUUUCGUCGUUUGGCCUGCGCUACUUUUGCAUGAUGGUGGCCCUCUUAUUGCAAAAGGUAUUGCGCAACCUGUUGGGAGGAACAAGAUUGAGUCAUCAGAACGAAACUAGAUAAACUCUCCACUUCAUUCUAGCGAUGUUUUUUUUCCUGUGAGAACGACAAGGUUCACCGAAUAAUGCUUUAACAAAUACAUAGUAUUGAUUGAUGUGAUUAUUCAAACUGUCCGACUGCAUUUCGGAAUCAAAAUCAAAUUAAAUGUAUUCAAUGUUUAUAUGUAGAUUAAGAUGAACAUCUGUGACAAUGUUUUGGCUAUAUCAUAAUGUGGUGUGAUAAUUUGACAAAAUGUUGAGUCAAGCAUUUAAGCAAUGCCGAAAAUAAUGCAUCUCACUAUAGUGAAUACAGUUUUAAGUUUACUUUUAACUUUCAAAAUGUGUGUAUUGGUGCCUUUAAGAAAUACUUUUUCAUUGUUACUAUGUCGCCUCUUCACGCUUCUUAUUGUCCAUUUGAUUGAUAUGUUGUUACGUUUUGUUUUUAUUGCUUACUAGUGAUAUCAUGUUUUAGUCAAAUAUUCUGUCUCUGUUGUUUUGAGAUCUAUAAGAGUCUGUUUGCGCCCAUUGGUUGCCUUAUGAGUUAACCCUGCUGUACGUCAACUUGUUUAUUUUAGGCCCAAAAUGGACACGAGUUUUAAGUGACUGCAAAUACCUGUCACAUUGUAACUGCCAGAAGUUUUAUUUUUAUUUUUAGUAAGUCUUGCUGGUCUAAAAUGUAUCUCUCUGAUAAAUACCGUUCAUUACAUAUUAUGAAAUGCACUUUAUUGGAAUGGCCUUUGUUGAAAUGAAGUAUCUGGUUGGGUUCCCUAUCUAUUGGUAACCCUACGGUAGUUUUAAAGACGUUUUGUGUUACUAAGAGUUGCCUAUUCCUUCCGGUACAGGUUUUCAUACCAUUGAUACUUUUUAUUUGUAUACUUUUUAACUGAAUUUGUUUUAUUUGGCACUAUUGUUAUCACUUGACAUAUUACUGCAUACAUCGGAUGUAAUAUAGAGAUGGCGAAGUUUAGAAAGUUAUAUUUAUUGUGUUUUGGUUAUAUGCAAAUACACAGUUUAUGAAAUUAAAUACAUAUUUUAAC